AGCGGAGGAAAGGAAACCAACCGGGAUUGCCUUAGUAACGGCGAGUGAAGCGGCAAAAGCUCAAAUUUGAAAUCUGGUACCUUCGGUGCCCGAGUUGUAAUUUGGAGAGGGCAACUUUGGGGCCGUUCCUUGUCUAUGUUCCUUGGAACAGGACGUCAUAGAGGGUGAGAAUCCCGUGUGGCGAGGAGUGCGGUUCUUUGUAAAGUGCCUUCGAAGAGUCGAGUUGUUUGGGAAUGCAGCUCUAAGUGGGUGGUAAAUUCCAUCUAAAGCUAAAUAUUGGCGAGAGACCGAUAGCGAACAAGUACAGUGAUGGAAAGAUGAAAAGAACUUUGAAAAGAGAGUGAAAAAGUACGUGAAAUUGUUGAAAGGGAAGGGCAUUUGAUCAGACAUGGUGUUUUGUGCCCUCUGCUCCUUGUGGGUAGGGGAAUCUCGCAUUUCACUGGGCCAGCAUCAGUUUUGGUGGCAGGAUAAAUCCAUAGGAAUGUAGCUUGCCUCGGUAAGUAUUAUAGCCUGUGGGAAUACUGCCAGCUGGGACUGAGGACUGCGACGUAAGUCAAGGAUGCUGGCAUAAUGGUUAUAUGCCGCCCGUCUU
This 592-nucleotide ribosomal RNA is filed under the name Saccharomyces cerevisiae (brewer's yeast). Its description in RNAcentral is "partial large subunit ribosomal RNA". It matches the Rfam family "Eukaryotic large subunit ribosomal RNA", at positions 49 to 655 of the family's 3401-position model. Lineage: Eukaryota; Fungi; Ascomycota; Saccharomycetes; Saccharomycetales; Saccharomycetaceae. The record is from RNAcentral.